AGCACCUUUUAAGUUCGUCCCGUGAGGCGGACAAAGGGAGUGGCGAUGGGUACCUCGAUGGACCGGGUCGCGGGUGGCGCGCCACACGCGGCAGGAUUUGUGAUGGAGCUGCCCCUUGGGGGGCGACCUUCUCGUUCGAGAAGGUCUUUUUUUG
Molecule: non-coding RNA, 154 nt
Organism: Deltaproteobacteria bacterium RBG_13_65_10
Lineage: Bacteria; Deltaproteobacteria
Source: Rfam